CAGCACAAAUCAAAGUAUAUACAUACAACCAAUUCAACCACAACCAAGUCAUCCACACAUCAAUUACAUGCUAUUUCCUAUCUCAUACAACAUCUCAUACUUAUCAUCUUAAACAAUGCAAAAUCCACGGUCAUGAACGACAUCUUCAUAUUCAUAUAUACUUAACCAAUAUUAGCCAAUUUCAAUGGCCAUUUACAAAAUGAAUCAUCAACCAUUAUAAGCCAACACAUUUGGCCAAAUCG
Molecule: long non-coding RNA, 242 nt
Filed under: Gossypium barbadense (sea-island cotton)
Lineage: Eukaryota; Viridiplantae; Streptophyta; Magnoliopsida; Malvales; Malvaceae
Description: long non-coding RNA (GBAR_LNC007092)
Source: RNAcentral